AUUGAACGCUGGCGGCAGGCCUAACACAUGCAAGUCGAACGGUAACAGGAAACAGCUUGCUGUUUCGCUGACGAGUGGCGGACGGGUGAGUAAUGUCUGGGAAACUGCCUGAUGGAGGGGGAUAACUACUGGAAACGGUAGCUAAUACCGCAUAACGUCGCAAGCCCAAAGAGGGGGACCUUCGGGCCUCUUGCCAUCGGAUGUGCCCAGAUGGGAUUAGCUAGUAGGUGGGGUAACGGCUCACCUAGGCGACGAUCCCUAGCUGGUCUGAGAGGAUGACCAGCCACACUGGAACUGAGACACGGUCCAGACUCCUACGGGAGGCAGCAGUGGGGAAUAUUGCACAAUGGGCGCAAGCCUGAUGCAGCCAUGCCGCGUGUAUGAAGAAGGCCUUCGGGUUGUAAAGUACUUUCAGCGGGGAUGAAGGGAGUAAAGUUAAUACCUUUGCUCAUUGACGUUACCCGCAGAAGAAGCACCGGCUAACUCCGUG
Molecule: ribosomal RNA, 490 nt
Filed under: uncultured bacterium
Lineage: Bacteria
Description: partial 16S ribosomal RNA
Rfam family: Bacterial small subunit ribosomal RNA
Source: RNAcentral